UACGUAGGGAGCAAGCGUUGUCCGGAAUCAUUGGGCGUAAAGCGCGCGUAGGCGGCCUCAUAAGUCCGUUGUGAAAGUCAAAGGCUCAACCUUUGAAAGCCGAUGGAUACUGUGAGGCUAGAGUACGGAAGAGGCGAGUGGAAUUCCUGGUGUAGCGGUGGAAUGCGCAGAUAUCAGGAGGAACACCGGUGGCGAAGGCGGAUCUCUGGGCCUUACCUGACGCUCAGGCACGAAAGCUAGGGGAGCGAACAGG
This 253-nucleotide ribosomal RNA is filed under the name uncultured bacterium. RNAcentral's name for it is "partial 16S ribosomal RNA". It matches the Rfam family "Bacterial small subunit ribosomal RNA", at positions 524 to 776 of the family's 1533-position model. The record is from RNAcentral.